Molecule: long non-coding RNA, 1949 nt
Organism: Apodemus sylvaticus (European woodmouse)
Lineage: Eukaryota; Metazoa; Chordata; Mammalia; Rodentia; Muridae
Exons: 3
Source: RefSeq, a predicted model, not a curated record
UCAGCUUCCUAUUGGGGCUGCAAGAUUCUACAGGAAGCCUGUACUUAAGGGGACCCGAGCAGAGAAGGUAUCGCCGGACUUCGAGGGAAAGAUAUCCUCUGCUUCCCACUGGGAGCGACCAGCAUUUUUAUUUUUUAAAAAAAUUUUUUGCGGGGAUCCGCAUGGUUAAGAACCAGAGACUUGGAGAGCAAGUCCAGCCUCCAGGGCCCUUGAGAACAGCCAAUGCUAGGAAGCUCCUCAUAGCUGAGGAGCUGCGCAGACCUCGGGAGUCCCGCGUGGCUGGGGAGCCCGUGGAGACCGGAGAGCCGGGCAGAACUAGGGGGACACCGCACACCUAAGCAGCCAGAAGAACCUCAGCGCUUCCUAUCCAACCACCACACCCCAAGCUGCCACCCUAGGCUUCCUGUGGACGCGAAGCCAGAUGGUGUUGUAAUCCUCUGAGUUGAACUCCAGGAAAUGGACUCUUGCUUCUGGCUCCAGAGAUUUGGAGUAGCGAGUUUUGCAAUGGAAUUCAGAUUGGAUUAAGCACAGGAGAGAUUUAUUAGCUUAUCUAAUCAGACUGGAUCUAAGUGGCGUUAUAAUGUCACUGGGAAUAUGUUUCUACCUUUGGCUUGGCAUCUGUACUAGGUACUUUCUCUUGCUAUGAUUUAAAAAAAAACUGACCAACUUGGGGGGGGGGAAAGGGUUUAUUUCAGGAAAGGUACUUGAGGCAGCAGGAACAGAAGCAGAGCCGUGUGUGUAAAACCGUGUUUACUGGCUUACUCUCCACGGCUAUCUUAGCUUGCUUUCUUAGACAAACCAGGAGUCCUUAGGCAGGAGGAUCACUCCCACAGUAGACUGGGAUUUCCUCACCCAUCAUUGAUCAAGAAAAUGUCCCACAAGGCAUGCCUAACAGGUCAGUCUGAUGGAGCCUCAACUGAGGUUCUCUUCCCAGGUGAUUCUACUUUAAGUUGACAAAAACUAACCAACACAGGCUCCCUCUCAGAUGGUUUUUACCUUAGGACGGCCUGUCUCCCGGAAAGCAUGCUUUCAUUGGAACAGCCUUGGAAUUUCCCAGAGGCUAUGGUUUCUACCUCAGGGUUAGAGCGCUUGUCAACUAUGUGGAAACUCUGAGUGCCAACCCAGCACCACAAAAUUAAACAAAGCAAAGCAAAACAACUUUCCUUUCUGCACACGCACUGGACAGGCACAGUUUUGAUGUGCGGAACCAGGCUGGCUGGCUAGUCCUUGGACCUGUAGGUGCCGCACAAAUGUUCAACAAGCAACUGCAUCAUUGGUGCCAAGGACCUGCAUCCAUCCAGAUGAGUGAGGCUGCGUUUGACAAGAUCACAGGGAGCUGUUCCCAGGAGGAGCAAGUCAGAUGAUUCUAUUCUCUGAUCGGUUAAGGCUGAUGGAAUUGUCUCAAAGAACUUUUGAACAGAAGAAAUCGGGGAAUAUUUGUCAUAAAGUGAGAAACCAGCUCUCUUUGCUGCCAGAGUGCGGCCAUCACGGGUUACAUGUACUCUAGUGGGAAGGGCCUGUCCCAGUCAAUGCGUACCUGGCUAAAGUUCACCUCUGAAGAUGUGAAGGAACAGAUUUUCAAACUGGCCAAGAAAAGCCCUACUCCCUCCCAAACAGGCGCCGUCCCAAGGGACUCACGUGAUAUGGCACAGGUCCAUUUUGUGACUCAGAACAAAAUCUUGAGACUCCUUAAGUCCAAAGGCCUUCCUCUGAUCUUCCUGGGGAUCUCUACCACUUGAUGAAGAAAGACAUGGAACUAAUCUGGAGCCCUGGGAGCUCCCAGAGACUGAGCUACCAACCAAAGAGCAUACAUGAGCUGGUCCCGGACCAGGGCGCGUACAAAGCAGAGGGCAGCCUUGUCUGCCCUCAAUGGGAGAGGAAGCACCUAAUCCUGCAGAGACUUGAUGAUGCUCCAGGGUGAGGAGAGAGCAUCCUCUCAGAGGCGAAGG